AGAGUUUGAUCCUGGCUCAGGAUGAACGCUGGCGGCGUGCUUAACACAUGCAAGUCGAACGAACCUUCGGGUUAGUGGCGGACGGGUGAGUAACGCGUGAGAAUCUGCCCUCAGGAGGGGGAUAACGGCUGGAAACGGCCGCUAAUACCCCAUAUGCCGAGAGGUGAAAUGAAUUUCGCCUGAGGAUGAGCUCGCGUCUGAUUAGCUAGUUGGUAAGGUAAGAGCUUACCAAGGCAUCGAUCAGUAGCUGGUCUGAGAGGAUGAUCAGCCACACUGGGACUGAGACACGGCCCAGACUCCUACGGGAGGCAGCAGUGGGGAAUUUUCCGCAAUGGGCGAAAGCCUGACGGAGCAACGCCGCGUGAGGGAUGAAGGCCUCUGGGCUGUAAACCUCUUUUCUCAAGGAAGAAGACAUGACGGUACUUGAGGAAUAAGCCACGGCUAAUUCCGUGCCAGCAGCCGCGGUAAUACGGGAGUGGCAAGCGUUAUCCGGAAUUAUUGGGCGUAAAGCGUCCGCAGGCGGCCUUUUAAGUCUGUUUUAAAGCGUGGAGCUCAACUCCAUUUCGGCAAUGGAAACUGGAAGGCUGGAGUGUGGUAGGGGCAGUGGGAAUUCCCGGUGUAGCGGUGAAAUGCGUAGAUAUCGGGAAGAACACCAGUGGCGAAGGCGCUCUGCUGGGCCAUAACUGACGCUCAUGGACGAAAGCCAGGGGAGCGAAGGGAUUAGAUACCCCUGUAGUCCUGGCCGUAAACGAUGAACACUAGGUGUCGGGGGAAUCGACCCCCUCGGUGUCGUAGCCAACGCGUUAAGUGUUCCGCCUGGGGAGUACGCACGCAAGUGUGAAACUCAAAGGAAUUGACGGGGGCCCGCACAAGCGGUGGAGUAUGUGGUUUAAUUCGAUGCAACGCGAAGAACCUUACCAGGGUUUGACAUCCUGCGAAUCCCUUGGAAACUUGGGAGUGCCUUCGGGAGCGCAGAGACAGGUGGUGCAUGGCUGUCGUCAGCUCGUGUCGUGAGAUGUUGGGUUAAGUCCCGCAACGAGCGCAACCCACGUCUUUAGUUGCCAGCAUUUAGUUGGGCACUCUAGAGAGACCGCCGGUGAUAAACCGGAGGAAGGUGUGGAUGACGUCAAGUCAUCAUGCCCCUUACAUCCUGGGCUACGCACGUACUACAAUGCUACGGACAAAGGGCAGCAAACUCGCGAGAGCUAGCAAAUCCCAUAAACCGUGGCUCAGUUCAGAUCGUAGGCUGCAACUCGCCUACGUGAAGGAGGAAUCGCUAGUAAUCGCAGGUCAGCAUACUGCGGUGAAUACGUUCCCGGGCCUUGUACACACCGCCCGUCACACCAUGGAAGUUGGCCACGCCCGAAGCCGUUACUCCAACCCUUGUGGAGGAGGACGUCGAAGGUGGGGCUGAUGACUGGGGUGAAGUCGUAACAAGGUA
This 1441-nucleotide ribosomal RNA is filed under the name metagenome. RNAcentral's name for it is "bacterial SSU rRNA". It matches the Rfam family "Bacterial small subunit ribosomal RNA". The record is from RNAcentral.